This 496-nucleotide ribosomal RNA is filed under the name uncultured bacterium. RNAcentral describes it as "partial 16S ribosomal RNA". It matches the Rfam family "Bacterial small subunit ribosomal RNA", at positions 28 to 507 of the family's 1533-position model. The record is from RNAcentral.
GAUGAACGCUGGCGGCGUGCUUAUACCUUCCAGUUCAGCCGACAGACGAGGAGCUUGCUCCUCUGACGUUAGCGGGGGGCGGGUGAGUAACACGUGGUUAACCUACCUAUAAGACUGGGAUAACUUCGGGAAACCGGAGCCAAAACCGGAUAAUAUAUUAAACCGCGUGGUUCAAUAGCGAAGGACGGUUUUAGUGGCCCAUAUUAGAUGAUCCACGCCGCAUUAGAUAGUUGGUAAGGUAACGGCCUACCAAGGCAACGAUACGUAGCCGACCUGAGAGGGUGAUCGGCCACACUGGAACUGAGACACGGUCCAGACUCCUACGGGAGGCAGCAGUAGGGAAUCUUCCGCAAUGGGCGAAAGCCUGACGGAGCAAUGCCGCGUGAGUGAUGAAGGUCUUCGGAUCGUAAAACUCUGUUAUUAGGGAAGAACAAAUGUGUAAGUAACUAUGCACGUCUUGACGGUACCUAAUCAGAAAGCCACGGCUAACUACGUG